Molecule: ribosomal RNA, 465 nt
Filed under: uncultured bacterium
Lineage: Bacteria
Description: partial 16S ribosomal RNA
Rfam family: Bacterial small subunit ribosomal RNA
Source: RNAcentral
GAUGAACGCUGGCGGCGUGCUUAACACAUGCAAGUCGAACGGAAAGGCCCAAGCUUGCUUGGGUACUCGAGUGGCGAACGGGUGAGUAACACGUGGGUGAUCUGCCCUGCACUUCGGGAUAAGCCUGGGAAACUGGGUCUAAUACCGGAUAGGACCACAUUUUGGAUAGUGUGGUGGAAAGUUUUUCGGUGUGGGAUGAGCUCGCGGCCUAUCAGCUUGUUGGUGGGGUAAUGGCCUACCAAGGCGUCGACGGGUAGCCGGCCUGAGAGGGUGUACGGCCACAUUGGGACUGAGAUACGGCCCAGACUCCUACGGGAGGCAGCAGUGGGGAAUAUUGCACGAUGGGCGCAAGCCUGAUGCAGCGACGCCGCGUGGGGGAUGACGGCCUUCGGGUUGUAAACUCCUUUCGCUAGGGACGAAGCGCAAGUGACGGUACCUGGAGAAGAAGCACCGGCUAACUACGUG